GACAGAGGGGGCAAGCGUUGCUCGGAAUCACUGGGCGUAAAGGGCGCGUAGGCGGGAUGGCAAGUCGGUCGUGAAAUCCUUCGGCUCAACCGAAGAACGUCGGCCGAUACUGCCGUUCUUGAGGGAUGCAGAGGAGAUUGGAAUUCCCGGUGUAGCGGUGAAAUGUGUAGAGAUCGGGAGGAACACCGGUGGCGAAGGCGGGUCUCUGGGCAUCUCCUGACGCUGAGGCGCGAAGGCCAGGGGAGCAAACGGG
RNAcentral lists this ribosomal RNA (253 nucleotides) under uncultured bacterium. RNAcentral's name for it is "partial 16S ribosomal RNA". It matches the Rfam family "Bacterial small subunit ribosomal RNA", at positions 524 to 776 of the family's 1533-position model. The record is from RNAcentral.